AGAGUUUGAUCCUGGCUCAGAACUAACGCUAGUGGCGUGUCUUAGUCAUGCGAGUCGAGCGAGAAAGUCCUCUUCGGAGGGCGAGUACAGCGGCAAACGGGUGAGUAACGCGUGGGUAAUCUACCUUUGAGUUGGGGAUAACACUCCUAACGGAGUGCUAAUACCGAAUGUGAUGUCGGGAUCUUGGUUCCGGCUUGAAAGAUGGCCUCUGCUUGCAUGCUGUCGCUCGAAGAUGAGCCCGCGUCCUAUUAGCUUGUUGGUGGGGUAAUGGCCUACCAAGGCAACGAUGGGUAGCCGGCCUGAGAGGGUGAACGGCCACACUGGCACUGAGACAAGGGCCAGUCCCCUACGGGGGCCAGCAGUCUAGAAAUUUGCACAAUCGCCGAAAGGCGGAUGCAGCGACGCCACGUGGAGGAUGAAGCCUUUCGGGGUGUAAACUCCUGUCAGAGGGGAAGAAGGUGCGGGUAUUAAUACCAUCCGUUACUUGACGGUACCCUCAGAGGAAGCUCCGGCUAACUGCGUGCCAGCAGCCGCGGUAAUACGUGGGGAGCAAGCGUUGUUCGGAUUUACUGGGCGUAAAGAGCUCGUAGGCGGAUGUGUAAGUCGGAUGUGAAAUCCUUUGGCUCAACCAGAGAAUUGCACCCGAAACUGCAUGUCUUGAGUUCAGCAGAGGGAAUCGGAAUCCAAGGUGUAGCGGUGAAAUGCGUAGAUAUCUUGGAGAACACCAGUGGCGAAGGCGGAUUCCUGGGCUGACACUGACGCUGAGGAGCGAAAGCUGGGGGAGCGAACAGGAUUAGAUACCCUGGUAGUCCCAGCUGUAAACGAUGAGCACUGCGUA
Molecule: ribosomal RNA, 838 nt
Filed under: marine metagenome
Description: bacterial SSU rRNA
Rfam family: Bacterial small subunit ribosomal RNA
Source: RNAcentral